UUGAAGAGUAGGAAAGUUAAUCAGGUUGUGAUUACAGUAAUCCCGAAAUCUAGAGGAAAUUAAAUAAACAAAACACAUGGGAAAAAUGCUAGAGUUUUUCAAAAUAGAUACAUAUGUUCAACUAGAAGGUCAACAAAUUAUAAAUCCCUAAAAAAAAAACUAAGCUGCAGCAUCAGUGUUGUCUUGGUCUUCCAAAACAUCCUCCAAAGUGGGCUCAUGCUCAUCUGCUCACAUCCAACAAGGAUGAUCAUCGCAAAAGAGAAACAUACAACAUACACAAAAACAAGACAAGGGUGAGCUAAUUAUAUAAAUAAACAUCAUGCAACAGAUUAAACAUUUGAUCAUAAGAGAGUGCAUGGAUAGCAAACACAUUUUAUAGCAAACAACCUAAACAUGUGAGAUUCUAGACUUGACUCGUCCGGACUUUAAAAUGAGAGUCGGGCUAUGGCGAGUCUUGCACCCGUGGUGACUUAUGAAACUUGGGUUCCCCCCCCUGCCACAAUCACGAGGUUAGUCCGUUCCGCGCCUUGAGGCAUACUGGGAGCCCCCAAGACUAAGGACCUCCUGCUACUUCUCACCACAUGGU
RNAcentral lists this long non-coding RNA (586 nucleotides) under Vigna radiata. Its description in RNAcentral is "long non-coding RNA (VRAD_LNC009621)". The record is from RNAcentral. Lineage: Eukaryota; Viridiplantae; Streptophyta; Magnoliopsida; Fabales; Fabaceae.